GGCAUCCGCCUCAUCUGCAGCAAAGACGGGAAAUGGAGCUUGACUCACACUGUGGAGUCUCACACUGGCUUUGAUUGGUAGGUGAGCAGCUUGGUCCGCCCCUCCUCCGUCACCCUGAAUUAAACAAUGAUUAAUGAUAAAGUGCUCUUUUGAAUUGC
Molecule: long non-coding RNA, 158 nt
Organism: Limanda limanda (common dab)
Lineage: Eukaryota; Metazoa; Chordata; Actinopteri; Pleuronectiformes; Pleuronectidae
Exons: 2
Source: RefSeq, a predicted model, not a curated record